This 331-nucleotide ribosomal RNA is filed under the name uncultured eukaryote. Its description in RNAcentral is "partial 18S ribosomal RNA". It matches the Rfam family "Eukaryotic small subunit ribosomal RNA", at positions 1470 to 1796 of the family's 1831-position model. The record is from RNAcentral.
CCCUUAGAUGUUCUGGGCCGCACGCGCGCUACACUGUUCGACGCAGCGAGUCUUAACCUUGACCGAAAGGUUUGGGUAAUCUUCAGCAAAGUCGAACGUGAUGGGGAUCGAUCAUUGCAAUUAUUGAUCGUGAACGAGGAAUUCCUAGUAAGUGCAAGUCAUCAGCUUGCGCUGAUUACGUCCCUGCCCUUUGUACACACCGCCCGUCGCUACUACCGAUUGAAUGGUUUAGUGAGAUCUCUGGAUUGACGCUGGCUAGGGGGCGACCCUUGGCCAGACUGUUGAGAAACUGCUCAAACUUGAUCGUUUAGAGGAAGUAAAAGUCGUAACA